Molecule: long non-coding RNA, 774 nt
Filed under: Homo sapiens (human)
Lineage: Eukaryota; Metazoa; Chordata; Mammalia; Primates; Hominidae
Description: HSALNT0292023
Source: RNAcentral
UGGCCAGAGGGGCCUUACUCUGUUCUCUGCAGUAGAUAUUAACUUUAUUAACUUUGUUCCUUUUGCAAGUUAAGUUGGUUCUUUGUGAAGGUGGGUGCGUGCGAGUGUGGUCUCUGUUACCCUGUCUGUAACAUGGAGAGGAUAACCCCAGCUCAAAGGCCUCCCUCAGGUCUGCUGAGAGGAUCAAGUGGGAUAUCAUCUGAUAAAGUGAUUUGACUUUUACAAAGGACUGUCCAAAUAGAAGGUUGUGGUGUUAUCUCUGACAUCUGAAGCGAGGUCCUUGGAUGUUCCUGGAGUCAAACCUGACAACAAGGAAACUUUCAGCAUGACCGAGAAAAGGGUCUCCCUUAGCUCAGCUCCUGGGAGGGCCCCUGAAGGAGAUAUAAAAUGUGAGUCUGUGGGUGGGAGUGAUUGUGCUGGGCAUAUUUAAUGUAUGUCAGCAUUCACUCACACUUUUGAGUGUGCACAUCUUAUUUCUUGUAUAUACAAAACUGAUGUGUGUGAAUGCCUGUGUCAAUAUGGUGGGCAGAGAGGGUCAUUUAUUCGUUCAUUCCAGGAAUGAGUUUUGAGGAUUUACUCUGCUCUCUAGAUGCUGGAGAUUCAGUGGAGAACAAGACAGACUAGCAUUUGCAUUUCUGAAGUUUGGGGAGUCCCAGAUCAAAACACUGCCAUUGGUCUCUGGUAAAGGUUGCUGUCUGCCUCUGAGAUGAUGCCUUGUUGCUGCGUCUUCCAGAGUGGAGGAACACUGCGUCCUCACAUGGUGGAAGGCAGAAG